This 290-nucleotide ribosomal RNA is filed under the name uncultured bacterium. Its description in RNAcentral is "partial 16S ribosomal RNA". It matches the Rfam family "Archaeal small subunit ribosomal RNA", at positions 455 to 747 of the family's 1478-position model. The record is from RNAcentral.
GUGCCAGCCGCCGCGGUAAUACCGGCAGCUCAAGUGAUGGCCGAUCUUAUUGGGCCUAAAGCGUCCGUAGCUGGCCUCGCAAGUCCGUCGGGAAAUCCAGUAGCUCAACUACUGGGCGUCCGGCGGAAACUACAAGGCUUGGGACCGGAAGGCUCGAGGGGUACGUCCGGGGUAGGAGUGAAAUCCCGUAAUCCCGAACGGACCACCGAUGGCGAAAGCACCUCGAGAAGACGGCUCCGACAGUGAGGGACGAAAGCUAGGGUCUCGAAUCGGAUUAGAUCCCUGUGUCC